GUUUAUGGCCAUGCCACCUUGAAAAAGACCGAUGUCUGAUCUCAGAAGCUAAGCAGGAUCAGGCCUGGUUAGUACUUGGAUGAGAGUCCACCUAGGAAGACCAGGUGCUGUAGGCG
RNAcentral lists this ribosomal RNA (116 nucleotides) under Pteropus alecto (black flying fox). The record is from RNAcentral. Lineage: Eukaryota; Metazoa; Chordata; Mammalia; Chiroptera; Pteropodidae.